Molecule: ribosomal RNA, 425 nt
Filed under: uncultured bacterium
Lineage: Bacteria
Description: bacterial SSU rRNA
Rfam family: Bacterial small subunit ribosomal RNA
Source: RNAcentral
GUGGGGAAUUUUGCGCAAUGGGGGAAACCCUGACGCAGCGACGCCGCGUGGAGGAUGAAGGUCUUCGGGUUGUAAACUCCUUUUCUUAGGGAAAAUGAUGAUGGUACCUAAGGAAUAAGCCACGGCUAACUCUGUGCCAGCAGCCGCGGUAAGACAGAGGUGGCGAGCGUUGUUCGGAAUUACUGGGCUUAAAGGGCGAGUAGGCGGUGGAGCAAGUCUGAGGUGGAAGCCUAUGGCUUAACCAUAGAACUGCCUUGGAUACUGUUUCACUUGAGUCAGUAAGGGGAGGGCGGAAUUCCCGGUGUAGCGGUGAAAUGCGUAGAUAUCGGGAGGAAGGCCAGUGGCGAAGGCGGCCCUCUGGUGCUGAACUGACGCUGAGGCGCGAAAGCGUGGGGAGCAAACAGGAUUAGAAACCCCUGUAGUCC